AAUAUUGCGCAAUGGAGGAAACUCUGACGCAGCGACGCCGCGUGAGCGAUGAAGGUCUUCGGAUCGUAAAGCUCUGUCCUUGGGGAAGAAGAUCGAAAGAUUUGACGGUACCCGAGGAGGAAGCCCCGGCUAACUACGUGCCAGCAGCCGCGGUAAUACGUAGGGGGCGAGCGUUGUCCGGAAUUAUUGGGCGUAAAGCGCGCGCAGGCGGUUCACUAAGUCUGAUGUGAAAGCCCCCGGCUUAACCGGGGAGGGUCAUUGGAAACUGGUGGACUUGAGUGCAGGAGAGGAGAGUGGAAUUCCACGUGUAGCGGUGAAAUGCGUAGAGAUGUGGAGGAACACCAGUGGCGAAGGCGGCUCUCUGGCCUGUAACUGACACUGAGGUGCGAAAGCGUGGGGAGCAAAC
Molecule: ribosomal RNA, 406 nt
Filed under: uncultured bacterium
Lineage: Bacteria
Description: partial 16S ribosomal RNA
Rfam family: Bacterial small subunit ribosomal RNA
Source: RNAcentral